GCUUUCUUUUAUUUCCUCACAUUUUCUCCCUCUUUCCCCACCCCUUUUCUAUUUUUUAAAAACCAAACCCGAAAUAUCGAAAUGGGUGGCAACCUCUCUGACCCCCAUGCUUUAUCAUUAAAUACAUAUAUUUUGAAAAAAAUUAUGUAUGGUAAAGAAAACAUGUGUUUAUAACGUUCAGCAAAAAAAAAUUUAAUAAAUACAACACAAUACAAAACUGAGACGUUACUAAACACGAUAAAUCAUUUCUUUAUUUUUAAUUUAUUUUCUUUAUCAUGAUUAUUUUUUGCUGAGAUUGAUGUCAAACAAUUGUUGAAUGGGUGUUAAGGUGAUGAAAAAAAUCUGCCGGUAACAAAAUAACUAAUUGAAUUAAAAAUGUUAGGCCUAUAGCUUAUGAAUCCAUCACAAUCAUUACAAAUAAAGUUAAGUCUAUUCUACCUCAGGGUUGUGGAAAGUCCAUACGAAAAGGCUCAUCGUAGGGUAGGCCAUAUGUCAUGUUAAAGCAAUGAUGUCUCGACUCCUUAACUUCAUGUUGAACAUAUAUAUUUUUUUUAUAUUAUUGAAGCUUAUGUUAUAUAAACUUCCAUAAAGUUAUCAACUUUAAACGUUUAUGACCAUUGCCAUUUUAGCAUUGUUUCUGUAAACAGUAUUUUCCCCCGUUCAAUUGAUUUCACAUAUUUUUCUACGUUUAAUUAUUGUAAUGCUACUUUACCCACUUGACAUGUUUGCAGCAAGUUUCAUAUUUUGAUUGUCCUCGGUUACUUAAACUUAAUUUCCAUGCAAAAUGUAUGUUUAUAAUCUAAACACUCACAUUUGCAUUUCUUGCGUUACAUCUGAUGAAUAAAAUAAAUAAAUUCGAUUUUUCACACGCAGCCUCUCAUAUUUUCCUUUUUAGUCUCAUACAAUCAGACACGUUGAUUUUAUUUACUCCAUCCAAACCCCAUUUUUACAUCAACAAAUAACAUUCAAAGCAUAAUUUGCAAAAUUAUCACUUUAGAUGCGUAUUAUAUAACAAAUCAGAAUAUUGAAAUAAUACAAUGCCGAAAUUACUUAGUUAAAUCAAUUUUUAUUUUCUGACAAGGGUCUCUUUUGUUGGAAUAUCAAUGAGAGGUGUCCUUAAAAGGACACCGUAUAGAUAGGGGAAAUAAUGAAAAUUUCGAUUUUAUCCAGGUAUGUAUCUUUAAUUUUUGUUCUCCUUUUACCUCAUAAAGUAAGCUCCAAACAUCAUUUCUACAAUCGGUAAUAAACAACAAAUUAUUUGAUCUCCGUUAAUUGAAAAUGAAAUAAAUGAUUUUAUGGAAAGUCGUCAUUUCGAAAUAAAAGGUUCAGGUGACGAUGAAGACUAAAUAUUUUUCCGAUAAUAUCAAUAUCAAACGAUGUUGCGGCCGGACUUGGAAGACAAGAUUGCCUUCGUGAAACGGAAAGCGCUGAUUUGUCACCAAUCUUCCUAUCUCGGAAGAAUUGUCCUAGGACGUUCCUACGUAUCGUUCAUCUCGUCAUGCAACAGGCCCAUUUUAUGCUGACACUUUUCAGUGUGGCUUCAGACACCCUAAAAAAGUUUAACAUUAAUCAAUCUUAAUUUCAAAUAUUGUAAAUCAAUGUUUGUUUCGACUUAAAAAAUAAUGCAAGUCAAUAUUUCAUGCACCCAACUUGUAUUAAGCCUAGUAGAAUACCCCAUAAGGGCAUACAUGGCAUAUAUGGGUUGGUCAUUUCUGUUUUGAUUUCUUCUUCCGUUGAGUACCGGUACAGUCCUCUUUAGAGUACCGACUACCGGUAUAGGACUUUGGUAAAUGUACGAAAACAGUGUAACAUGACCGUUUGUACACUCCAAAAUCAUAAACUCUUGCACUUCAGUCUCCUAUGCUCUCCUGUAAAUUCAAUCUCCAAAGCUCUCCUUACUUUCAUUAAACUAAAAUUAUUAAACUGAAGAUAGGGUGAACACAGAAAAAAUUUACUGUUACAUAAGAUUCCCUCUUCAUUAAAAAUGUCCUCAUUUUUCAAUAUACACUCCAAGUUUUUUAAGUUUCGAUUCAUGUUUUUCUUUCUGAACUUUUUUCUUUCUAGCAUGAAUUUUUUUUAACAGGCCAAAAAUUCAAGAGGAUAAAAAAAAUAAUGAAGGAACCUUAAAUUUCAACUCUUAACAGUAAUAUCAAUAAGUCGUUACUUUUGCAACAAUCAGCAGAACGGCCAAAUGUCCAAACCCAAUCUUAGUAAUUAAUACUUUCUUUUAUAGCGGUCGUCCCUAAACAGACGAUUUCAAAGAAUGAGAAAAAAAUAUAUAUAUUUCGACUUCAAUAUUUCUUUCGAAGAGAAAUAAGAAUUAUUCAAUCAGUAUUAACUAUCACCAAUGGCCAUCUGACUGUUAGUUGCAAAUGCACAAAUAGUAUACAUGUAUAUUAAUGCAAUAUGUAUCAGCAUAUUGUUGUUGCAUGAGUAUUUUCGAAUAUACAAUUAGUUUUCUUCAUUUUUUUUUCUCCAAACUUAAUUAAUUUUUUUGCGAUAUUUGUGAAUUCAAAUAAAAUAUCACUUUUUUUUUUCACAAGUAUUGAAAACCAAUAUCCUUAAAAAGCUAUGCUUGUCUUGUCCAAAAGGAAAAAAAAUAAAUAUACAACAAACUGCCGUAAGCGAAAAUGGAUCAUGCAUCAACAAACAAAUUACUAAAUUUGCAACCAAUCUAAGUUUUGUUUCGUGAACAUUUUGUCCUUGCUUUUUUUUUUCUUUAAGAUUCAAAUUGUCUUAACAAAAUCGAUUUCCAUUCCAUUUUCAAACAUAUUGUUUUGUGUUUGAUGGAAAUGAGAUAAAAUCUUUUUUUUUUUUUUGGUUUUAUUGUUAUUUCCAAAAUCAAGUAUCCAUAUUUGAAAUACAACGAAAACAAUCAUUUGCUUUUUUUGUGUGCAAAAUCAAGUUAAUCAAUAGUAUGGCUAGUUGCAAAAAUUAUAUUUUCAAGAAUAUUCACAUUAACAUGUACUAUAAAUUCUGCAACUGAAUACUUUCUAAGUUUCUAGAUCAAGAUUUGAAUUCUACUUGUAAAAAACAAUCCAAUCUUCAAUAUCAUUGCAUUUUUUGUUUGUUUUCGAGAGUGACUGAGAGCAAAUUUUCAUGGAAUCUACAUUACAAUCAAAAGUAUUGAAAACAAUCUUUUAUCCUUUGAUUUGAAGAUAUUUUUAACCACUUGUUUUGCCACUUUCAUAGAUGUUAUCUCAGUCAGAGAAGGACAUUAAUGCAUAUAUUAUUCAAAGAAAACUCUUUUUGCAUUCAAAAUUUGCCAAGAUCUUUUUUUUUUGGUUUAAAGAAAUAAAAUCUUGAAAUGCAGUAUCAACACAUUCCUGGAGGGUAAAUACAGUGCAGUAAAAAUUGCAUUACAAUCAUGAAAUCCGAUUGCUGCUUUUUAUAUCUGAUUCCAUUUUCAAUCUUUUACGUAUUAAGGUGUUUUUUUUUUCCAAUCGAGGAAAGAAGAAAAUAAGUAAAGUUCUAUGAACACAUCAUUUAAAGCCAUAAAUUUUAUAAAAUAUACCACUCUAAUAUUUCUUGCACUUGUUUUGUUUUGUCUUUGUUGAAACAUUAAAUGUGUUUAAUUUUAAGUAUUCAAAGAUUUUAAAAACCAAACUUCAAACAAGUAAUUAUGACUGAAAAUGUAUUUUCCUUCUAAUGAAUAUCCAAAAGGGAAAAAAAAAUUACAUCGGUAGGAAAUUCUCUGAUCGAUGAAAAAAAAAAGGGAUGUGUUGCCGUAGAAAAUUCUCAUCACAUAAUUCUUCCGUCGAUGAUGAAUGUUCUAUUAAAGUCUGUAUUCGAAUGUGGUAGAAUAACUAUUCUGUUGACGAAAACUGUUCUAUCAAAGUCUGUAUUCAACUGGCGCAGAAUAAUUCUUCUGUUGAUGACAAAUUUUUUAUUAAAGGCUGUACUAUUGUUCAUAGUCUUUAUAUAUCUUGAUGGUUUCUUAACAGAGCGACCAGAUCUAGUUCUUAUAGUGGGUUGAUUUCCUUCUCUCGGGUGUAAAAUCAAAGUUCGAUUUUCCGCAGAAGGAGAUGCGGUAGAUGUUUGGUCUCUUCCAGAGGGUACCAUCAGGGGUUGGUCAUCGCGGGGAGGUGAGCCAAGGUUUGGUCAUCAUCCAGGGGUUGAGCCAAGGGUUGGUCAUCUUCCGGGGGUUGAGCCAGGGGUUGAGCCAGGGGUUGAGCCAAGGGUUGGUCAUCAUCCGAGGGCUGAGCCAAGGGUUGGUCAUCUUCCGGGGGUUGAGCCAAGGGUUGGUCAUCAUCCGGGGGUUGAGCCAAGGGUUGGUCAUCUUCCGGGGGUUGAGCCAAGGGUUGGUCAUUAGGUAGGCGAUGUCCCUCAGAGCAAGUGGCUGGACUACGGGGUGGAUGUAGUCCGCCUGAUGAGUUUUGGGGUAGAUCGUCGGGAUGGAGAGGACCAUUAGGGAGGUUUGCCUGGCCUCCACUCCAAGAUGGUGGGAGGGAGCCAGACAAAGGUGUGAAGGAAGGACGAGAGGUCAUUUUGUGAGUAUGACCACUAGGCAUGAAGUGAGGAUGAGGGGUCAUAUUGGGAGUAUGACCAUCAGGGAGACUUUGACUGAAGUAAGGAUGUCUGCCUGAAGGAGGAUAUUUGAAGGAGUUACCAUCUGAUGGGUCCGUGGAAGAUCGAUAUGGUUUAAUGCGAUUCUUGUGUAUCACUAUCUCUUUCCUGUCAUCAUCUAGACCAUGGAUUCGAACUGUGGGCCCCAUUGAAGAAGAAACUAUUCUGUAGGGUCCCUUCCAGUUAGCUGCUAGCUUACUUCUACUCAUAGCAGGAUUGUUGAGCCAAACCAGAUCUCCAGGAAGAUAUUGGAUAUUUCUUUCUUUCUUAUUGUAAGUAGCUUGCUGUUUGACUCUAGCUGCAUUAUUGCAUGAAGCAGCAUACUGGAAUGCCCGAUGUAGGCGAGAACGCAGAUCUUGAACAUACUGAUGAUGGGUGAUACUAGUCAAUCUUGUGUCUGGGGAUGGUACGGAAUGGGGGAGGCGAACUUCUCUUCCAUACAGUAAGAAGAAAGGUGUAUACCCAGUUGACGAAUGUACAGUCGAAUUGUAUGCUAAUUCAACCUGUUUCAGAUGUUGGUCUCAUUCACCUCCUCUUUCUGCCAAGUAUUUAGCCAGCUGGUCUUUGACGAUACGGUUGGUUCGUUCUACUAUGCCAGCACCCUGGGGGUGGUAAGGAGAUGAGCGGGUUUUCUUGAUACCAAACUGUUUACAAAGUUGACGAACAAGAGAAGAUUCGAACUGACGUCCCUGAUCAGUAUGUAAUACAUCAGGUAAACCGUGUUCCCUGACAUAAUCUUCAAACAAGUGUUUUGAUACUGUGGUAGCUGUUUGAUCCUUCAUAGCAUAGAGAUUGAUGAAUUUUGAGAAGUGAUCCACAACUACAAGGAUGUAGGAAUAACCAGAGGAAGUGCGGGGUAACAUUGCAAUAUCAGCAUAAACCGUCUGGAAUGGGUAGCUUGUCAUAACACUUCGUAGUGGUGCUUGAUGAGAGGGAGUUGGGUUUCUGAACGACUCACAUGCCGUGCAAGUCUCACAGUGGUCUGCUAUAUCUCGGUGCAUGUAAGGCCAAUACAUAUCAUUUUCGGCUCGAGACAGUGUUCUCUCUGUACUAAAGUGUCUAGAAGUAGGAUGACUAUGGAGUAGUUUGAGAACUUCAGGUACCAAACUCUGUGGGAUAACAGCUUGAUAGAGGAUAGUUGAUUUCUUUAAGUCUCUCUUUGUGCGAUAAAGGAUGCCAUCCUCUACCGUGAAACGAUUCAAUUGCCACAGGAAACGUCUCAUUCUUGGUGAAUGACGGCGUAUUUCUCUAGGACCAAGUUUGACUUUUUCAAUCACCAUGUGUUUGACAACUUGUACAUCUUUGUCUAACUGCUGGUGACGAAAGAUUUUGAGUCGUAGGCCAUCAAGGAUCUCUGACGAUGAAGGAGGAAGACGAGCAUCAUCGUCUGAUUUUUAGGAUGUCUCUGACGUAGGAAGACAUUGUUUGCUAUUUGACUCUGGAUAGUCAGGUGAUUCAGGCAACGAAGGAGGAAGGUAAGGCCUCUUUACUACAGGCUUCUCUCUUGGUGCGUCUGUUUGUCUACCUACUGAACAAGUAAUCUUGCUAAUGUUCAUGGCACACACAUGAGACUUCGAAGGAGGGAGGUGCAUACCAGUGUUUGAAAGGUUUGGGAGGCGCAUACCAGGUGGGGCCGUUGGUGAGGUAGUUGAUGGCUGGCCCACAACAUCAACUAACGGUCGUUUCCCUGCCUAUCAGAGAAAUGUACUCUACAUGGAGAAUGAGGACGAAAGGAUGUAUCCACAUUACCAUGACGUUCAGGUCGGCGAUAGUCAUCAUAGUAUCUAUCAUGACGGAGGGGGCUGCUUCCUCUGUCUCGUCUGUCACUAGGACUCGGUGAACGUCGCCAAUUAUCAUUGUAGUCCCGAUGAGGACUCGGCGAUCGUCGGCGAAAUCUAUCAGCAUAAUUACGAUGGAGGGGGCUUGCUGCUCUUCCUCAACUAUGAUACUCAUAAUCUGGAAAGUCAUAGCUACGAUGAACGGGACUUGUCUCUCUUUCCCUUCGGAAAUCAGGAUACCGCCUUGGACUAGGACUGAAUGCUUGACGUCAGUCCUCUUUGAAAGGAGAACGAGGCACUUUGUCUCUACUUUGGGUCCGAGAUGUAGGGUGAAGUGUCAGUGAAGAAAGUUUCUUCUCAAGAUCUUCCAGACGAUCUAAAACUUUCUGAAGAGAAGGGUGAUCAGAAGUUUCCUCGGAUGGAGAGACAGCUGCACUGAGGGUAUCAGUCUGUCUGCCGAAAAUAUGAGCUCUCUCAAUUCUAUUAGCCAAUUCGACAGCCUCUCGGAAAGUCUUUGCUCCCAUUUCGUGGAUUUUCACUUGCAAAAUAUUGCUCAGGCCAGCGACAAAUCUUCGGAACUUCUCCCCUUCCUUGGCAUUAUCACCAUAAGAAGGAAAAGCUUCCUCGACCAAUGAUGCAAUGGCAGCUGCAUACACAGGGAUCUGCUCUCCCGGCUGCCUCACCCGAGCUGUAAUACAUGACUGGAAUGUAGUAAUAAAAUCUGACCGCCCAAAAAUUGCGGAUAGUCUCUCUUUAGCUACUUUAAAGUCAGCCUGCUCGCUUGGAGGAAGACUUUCCCAUACAGAGAAUGCAUUGCAGGUCCUGUCAACUUGGAGGGAAGGACAAAUUGAAGCUUGUCGGCAACUGAUGAAUCAGCUGCUGCAGCUACCUCCAAUCUUCUAACCCAUUGUCUAAAAUCCUUUCCAUCUUCGCCAGAGAAAAACUCUGGCAAUUUAAUUCGAAACAUGACUAUGUCGACGAAGGAUGAAAUACCUCAAACCUAUUCGUAUAAUUAUGAAGGAGGGAGGUUCCCUUUUUCUUCUCUAGUAAAUACUUGUCUUGAGUAGAGAAAAAUAAAUUAAAUAUAGAUCUUCAGUGCUUGGAUACAAAGCUGAUAUCAAAAUCCGAGCACCAAUAUGAAGGAGGAAGAUAUACCACCAGACUGUGUGGAUGCAAAUAGAUCUAUAUCAGUUAACUUUAACUUAACUACAUCUGAAGGAGGGAGAUAUACAACAAGAAGAGUCAGACCUCCAAACUCCAAUAUAUGUCGGGACAUAUGAGAGGAAGACACCAGAUGAAGUAGGGCGACCAACUCAGCCAACAUCAAAACCAGGAUGUAGCAGAGAUAAUACAAAAUCUAGCCAGGAGCUACAAUGUAAAUGACUAGAAAAUGAGUGCUGCUGGAAUGCUGGACUAUAUACUGUUAUCAAAUGAAGUAGGGUAUAAAAUACAAACUAAAUGUAGGUUAACUCACCAAUAGUAAUGCAUCAAAAUACAUCAUGAAGAAGGAUGGAGCUCAAAAAUACAAUGGAGGGAGAAAAUGUCGACACUGACAAAACAGGAAUGGCAUAGACUGGAAGUAAAUAUAUAUGAAGUGAGGGUGGGCUGGAUCACUCUAGGCGACACCCCAAUACUUACCCGUGCUAAUAAACUGGGACUCCACUCACGCGCAUUUGGGCCGCCCUAGCUUAGAACUAAGCAAUAUUAUCUAGAAAUUGUUAAACUCUAGUCAUGAAAUAUGUUCUAUUAAAUAAAUUGAUAAUGUUUAAUCGGUACUCACCGGUUCUUUUGUUGCAUUUUCAGACCAUUUCUCACAAUUCUUCGUAAAUAUUUGCGGCAAAUUUUGUCGCCAUAGACAGCUAUACAUCCAUCUUUAUUAAUAAAUGGAGCGCCCUUUACGAUAGUUGUUAAUGCCGCGGAGAAAUCGUUAGGCAUUUUGGCAUGUCACCUUCAAGGCGUUCUUUCUGUUUUAUUUUUUAUAUUGAAGAUUGUGCAUUUGUUGAAUAGCGCCGUCUACGUCAGGUAUGAGAUCGAGUGUAUAAAUACACUCUUCCAAAAUAAUUAUGAUUCCGACCUGGCGCUGUUUAACUUCAAUCUCUUUCACCUAAAUUAGCGAUGAAUGCUAGCAUUAUAAAAUAUAUAUUAUUAACGUCUGACGAAAAGAAUAACCAACCGAUCAGCCGACGAGAACGCGAAUCACGUGAUCUUCAUAUCAGCUUCGAUCGCGAGUCAGAAGUGAAGAGCAACUGCCCAGAAAAUCAGGAAAAAGCCGUGAAAAUGUAAGUUCCCCUUCAUUUCUUUCAUUUUUUUGUUGUUGCUAACGAUGCAUUUACACUAUAAAAUUAUAAUUUAAAUAAGAGAAAGGAAUAUAGGCCUAGCUUGUACUUGUGAUAUAAUAUAUAAAUAUCCUGUUCUCAGAGAUUUCUAACCAAAAAUACUACUGAUGUCGCCUAUGAGGUCCAUACAUGUAGGCCCGAAUUCACAAAGGUGGUUUUUGCAGAAACCAUGGUUUCAACCGUGGGUUUUACUGAUUUUGCGAUUCACAAAGGUGGUUUCAAAUGAAACCAUGGUUUCAACCGUGGGUUUUCGGCAUGAUUUUGAGUCAACUGUUUUAGGUGGUUUCAAACCGUGGGUUUUAGAAAAACCAUGGUUUUUAGGCACAUUGACCAAUCACAGAACAGUAUUUCGGUACAUUGCUGAGCGCAAGUGGAGAUAGACGACGAUAAAUAGAUAUGCACGAAAAGAAAAGAAGCUAGAAGCGAAGCGUGUAAUAUCGGUAUUUGCCGAGCUGUGAGAACAUCUAAAUUUUCGAAUGGAUGAAAACAUCUUACAACAUGUGCAGGCUGUCCUGAAGAAUGAAGGAGGAUUGUUAGAGAGGAAUAUGCCAACCAGAACUGCAAUUAGGAGUCAUUGACAGGAGGAACCUUUGUGACUUGUACGAGGAUCCUUUGUGACUUGUACGAGGAUGAAGCUUUCAAGCACCACACGCUACCUUAUCAACAUGCUUGAAGAUGAUCUGAGCCUGAGGAGGGACAAAGGGCCUAGUGAUCGACUACCUUUGUAUCUGCAAAUAUCGACAAUUCUGCGUUUGUAUGCUGAUAAUUUCAGGGAAUACAUGGUGAUGAGACAUCAGCUGUUGAGUGAUCAAAGAUGUUUCGCAAGCCAUAGCAAGAAGAAAGGUUUUGUGAGAACUUCAACAACCAGAGAUGAGAUUGAGGCUACCCAACAACAACUGUAUGAGCGUUGUGGCCCAGUGGAUUAGUCUCCCGGACCUUGAAACAGAGGGUCAUGGGUUCGAAUCCCAGCCAUGGCGUAAUUUCCUUCAACAAGAAACUGAUCCACACGGUGCUGCACUCAACCUAGGUGAGGUAAAUGGGUAUCAGUAGGAAGUAAUUCCUCAAGAAGCUGUGAACGCCUAGCUUAGCCGGGUAAUAUAGGAGCGCCUUGAGCACCUAAUAAGGUGGAUAUGUGCGCAAUAUAAAUACCCUAUAUUAUUAUUUUGAGUACCAGUACUACAGGAAUUCAAUAGUCAUAGGUGUGAUCGAUGGGACCCAUGUCUAUAUAAGAUAAUAAGAAUUCCUGGAGGAACACAAGCUUUGUACUUUUUUGAAGGGCAAGUCCACCCCAACAAAGAGUUUCUUUGAUAUAAUAGAGAAAAGUCCAAUGAGCAUAACACUGAAACUUUCAUUAAAAUUUGAUGUAAAAUGAGAAAGUUCUGACAUUUUGAAGUUUUGCUUAUAAGUUAUUUUCACAAAACAUCUGUGCACAUCCUGGUCAUUAUGCAAAUGAGCGACCAAGUGACGUUCUCCAUUCACCGUUUCUUUUGAAAUAUAUCAUUAAAUAUGAUUUUUUUUUCGCCUCAUAAUGUGUAAUACAGGUGUACUGGUAUGCUUUGAUUUCUCCCUGAGAUUUGUGUAAAAAGCCAUUGUGGCAACCUGAACUCAAUUCAAUAAAGACUUAUAAUUGUGAAUUCUGUAAAAAUUCAAGUUUUAUGAUAUAUUUCAUAUCUUGAUAUGCAAAAGAAAGACUGUGACAUAGACUUAAUUGCAUAUCACCUGUUUUGUGCAUAUAAGUGAUUUGUGUGAAUCUUUGAUAUGUCAUUACUUAUUUUACAUCAUAUUUUGAUGUUGUCAGUGUCAUGCAUGUUUUAUUUUUAUCUAUCCAUUCAAAUAAACUUUUUGUUGUACAGUGGACUUGCUCUAGAACAGGUAUUUUUGUAUGUACAUGUAAGAAUUUCAUUAUUUAUUAGUGUCUUUUCUUUUAACGCUUUUUUACUGGGGGUUGAAGCAACCUCCCUUGAGAUCUUGGCCAAUGAUCACGUAAACGCCUUGAAAAUUGGUAUGAUAAUAGUGGGGGAUGUAAUGUGCAAUGAAAUAUGGUUAAUUUUUCAGAAAUUGUCAGAUCUUUUAUAUGAAUUAUGCUAAUUUAUGUGUAAAUUAUACUUUUAUACCAUUGCUAUAAAAUGCUAACAAUCAAAUAUAUAAAAAAAAUCCUAGUUUGAAAAUGAAUUUCUUAUGUAUUUUAUUGUUUUAUGAAUUUCCUAUGUAUAUCUUUGUUUUUCAACCUUUUGGUUUUCUUUAUUAAGAAGAUGAGAAAACUCAACAUUGACCUUUUACACAAAAUCCCAUUUUGGAGCAAUUUUGGGUCUGACAUGCACUUAUGUAAUGUUGAGUAAUUUUCCAACCGCAUACCAGGCAUCGUAAAUUUGGUCUCAAAAGAUGUGCAAGACUUCAAAAUAAAAUGUUGGCGAGCGGCACGGUCGUAUAAUUUAUCACAGUGGAAUGGUCGUGGAAAAUGUCGAGGGUGGGGGGGGGGGUUGAUUCACCCCCCCCCCCCCCGCGGUUUUAGGGUUGAAAUAGCACAUGAUUUUUGAGAAUUUCACAUGAAUACAAAGGAAAUUAUCUAAUCUAUUUCUUUUUUAAGUAUUUGAAAUUAACUUUUAUCAGAUUUAGUUUCUUUCACAGACUACAUGCAUCUUCAAUGAUUUUUAAAUUUAAACAGUUUGUUAAAAAAAACACUAUUUAAUCACAAAGCAUCAAAUGUAAAUUCCUCAUUUACUUUUUCAUGUAAAAUAUUCUCACAUAUUUCAAAUUGUAUUUUUCAAAUGUUUAGAACUUUGAUAGCUCCCAGAAAGUUUAUUGCAUGCUCCAAAAUAUGCAUGUGUCCAUGAGGAUGAUGAGGUCAAGGGUCAUCAAUUUAAAUUGCUCUAAUUUCUUUGUUUUUGCGUUAGUUGUGUUUACAUUUUGCACAGAUAACCAUUGGGUAUUAAAUACCACAUGUACAUGUAUGUCCAAGAGGAUGAUAAGGUCAAAAGAUCAUAUUGCAUAGUUUAUUGAUCGUGAUAUCAGGCGAGACACGUGGUUCACCUUGUUUUUUGUUGAAAUGUAUUCUUUUCAUGUGUCCACAGGGCAACAGCCUAUCUGAGCCUUAUGAAUAGAGCUCGACUCGGGCAACUGGGAAAACACUAGCUUGGCCUGGCACAUGCACAUUUAGGGGGCAUGAAUGAAACAAAAGGGCAAUUAAUGUAUUUUCUUGGAAAAAAAUUUAAUUUCAAUUGACCCCCCAAGGAUAACCUGAUGGCCUAGUUGAGGAAACCAGGCAGCCUAACGAGUAGAGCUUGACUCGGUCAACCAGAAAAACACCAGCUAAUAAUGAACACUAAUGAUUAUUCAUAUAGGCCAUUAUUGUAUUGUAAUACAAGAAUGUGGCAAGAUAUCAAAGCCUGGAAUAAGUAUUUAUUUAUUUCACAAAUAUUUGUAAUUUUACAAUAUGUUAUAAAAUGCCAAUUGAGUAUUAGAUUUUCAGUGUGUUAUAUUUUUAUGUAAUUUCCUGAUGUGAUUUUCCAAGGUACCAGGUGAUUUCAUGCAAAUUAAAGAUAUACAGAAAAGAUACAAGAGUAGUCUUAAUUCCCUUUUCCUGAUUUGGACGAAAUAAUCAUGAAGAUGAUCAAGAUGACUUUGGUGGUGAUGAGGAUUUUAAUGGUGUUGUUGCUGCUGAUGGUGUGAUGAUGAAGUUGGUGGGGACGAGUGGUGGUGGUCAUACAUGUGAUGGUAAUGAUGAUGUUGGUGGUGAUGAUGGGUUGGUUGGUGUUGAUGAUGAGGUUGGUGAUGACGAUAAGAUGAUAGCAAUGGUGAUGUUAGUGUUGAUGGUAAUGAUGUUGACGAUAGUAAUGAUCAUCCCCCUUUCAUCUCCAUUCGCCUUUUCUCUCCAGCACUCUUAUCUAUAUAUAUCCCUCUCAUCGACAUCCCUCCUCUGAUCAUCUCCCUUCCUCCUCACCAUCUCCAUCCCUCCUCUCACCAUCUCCAUCACUCUAUCCUCUCAUCUCCAUCCUCCGAUCCCCUCCAUCCCUCAUCUCCACCCCCGUCUCAAUCACCUCCAUCCCUCCCAUUAUCUCCAUCACCAUCUCUUUCCUCUCAACAUUUCCAUCCCUCUCAACAUCUCAAUUUUUCUUAUCUCCAUUUGUCUCAGGAAAAUGCCUAUACACAAGAUAGAAUUCAACAGUCAAAAUACUUCUUUUGAAAUAUAAUAUCCCUUAGUAAAGUGGGUUUUAUUAUUUACCAUAUAAAUUUGAAUAAUUACAUAGUAAACACUGUAUACUUAACCGAAUUUGCAUUUUUGAAAGUGAAACUGAAUUUUUUCAUGCACACUUUCAGUGGAUAUGAAAAUUUUAAGUAAAAUUAAAUUAUUAAAAAUUCCAGGGGGGGGGGGGGCAACUGCUGCGUACCAAGCCGGCCCCAUGUAUAUUUUCCCUUAAUACUCAAACAGCCACGUAAUAAGCAUAGAACUCAUUCUAAGGCUAAGCUGUACACCAGGGGAAAAAUAAUAUAAAAAAGCAAUAUAUUAUUCAUUAAGCUGCAAGAACAGUUAAAGAAAAUAAAUCAGGGGAAAACAAGGAAUUGAAAGGGGCAAAAUUAGAUCAAUUUAUCCAUGUUAUUUUAAAUUCUGUAAAAAAUGCUAAGUCCCCUAUCUUUUUAUUUUAUUGAUCGCUUCCUUCGGCCCGGCAUGCCCACACCAUAUUUCGGGGGCCGGGGCGAAAACGCCCCCCCCCCCCUGCAGCCUCGGCAUGCGUACGUUAUUUAAUAUUAGUACUACAUUUCAUCAUCAUCAUAGGAAGAAGGCGGUGGCCUGGAAUUCCCGGUCUAUGGUUUUAGUCUGGUGAAUUUAUUACUGUACGCAUGCUGAGGAGUGGGGAUUUAAUUUUAGCCUGAAUCGAACAUCCACAAGUCAAAGAAAUUGAAGCCUAUUAUUACUUAAAACUAAGCUAUACACCAUUGAAAAUAAAUAUACAUAAACAAAAUCAUUUAUUUAAAAAUGUAGAAGGGCAGAGCCUACGAUGUCAAAUUAAGCUUCACUCAGCUCAGCUCGGCUCUUUACACGCCCACUUCCGUUGAGGAUAUUCGGGGCGGAAGCGCCCCGGCAGCUACGGGGGCCGAGCUACGCAGUAUUGCGAUGAAAAGCACCGAAUCGUUCAUCCGAUUUUCGCUACUCACGAUCAGAGAGAAAAGAUGACAAACCUCAACAAUCGUGCAUCUACAGUGAAUGUUACUCUCUCUAUGAAGAAAUUGAGUUAAGGGAAUACAAGAAAGUCUAUCUUCUGCGACAAAAGUGAAGAAAAUGAAUUAUGAUCACAAAAUUAAGUCAGUUCUUGAGCUGGGGCCGAGUCAAGUACCAAUACGGUACAGCAGCUAAAUAAACGCGGGCCGGCUACAUGGGAAUCGCGAGAUAGCUAGAAGCGCAUAAAAUUACACUUUUUUUUAAAUAUUUUACCGAAAAAAGUUGUAGUAAGUGAAGAAUCAGACCAUAUUACCAGUGCUAUUUGUUGAAUGUAAGUUUUCAAUGAACUGAGCAUGCUCAGUACACGCUAAAAAAGGGGAAAUCCCUGGUUUUGAGGUAAAACCCACGGUUUAAACCAUGGUUUCAUUUGAGUCCACUGUUGAAACCAUGGUUUCAUUUGAGACCACUGUUGAAACCGUGGGUUUUAGAAACCAUCGUUUGUGAAUCGCAAGUUUUAGAAACCAUGGUUUUUGAAAAACCAUGGUUUCUAAAACCCACGGUUUCUAAAAACCAUGGUUUCAAACGAAACCACCUUUGUGAAUUCGGGCCGUAAUGUUUGGACCUCAUUGGUACUAGGAGUGGGCUGGAUCAGGUCCGGAUAAGACAACGGAACACCGCUGCUACCAGUGGCAGUUGUAACAUGACCGUUUGUACACUCCAAAAUCAUAAACUCUUGCACUUCAGUCUCCUAUGCUCUCCUGUAAAUUCAAUCUCCAAAGCUCUCCUUACUUUAAUUAAACUAAAAUUAUUAAACUGAAGAUAGGGUGAACACAGAAUAAAUAGGAACUUAACACGACGAAGUCCAGAUCAGCACUGACUUUACUUUCCAAUCUAAUCUUCUGGGAAGUUCUGCCAAUGUACCCACAUUGGAUAAUCAUAGAAAUCAUGCAACCAAUCAAAUACAAGGAAAAUGGUAUGAACUAUAAAAUGAACUAACCCUAUUUAAAAAUAAGAACCAAUCAGAGAAUAGAGAAGGGUGAUCAUGAGUUAAACUGAAUCCUAAUGAGAAUUAAACAAUAAGACCAUGACAUGUGGAGUGGAAAGCUAAUGGAAAACCAGGGAGCAUGACUGAGGGGAAACUGAAUGAAAGAAUGAAUGCAAUGAACCUGUGUUGCUAUGUGAGAUGUAUUGUGGAGAUGGAAUGAAAGAUGAGAUCAUGACAAUGUAUGUGGAUUGUGAGGAUGGAAAGGGUUGGAAAGAAGGAUGAGAUGAGUAUGGAAAGCCAAAUGUAAGACUAAGACUAGAGUACAGAUUUAUAAAUAAACAAACCUAGCAAAAUUUACUGUUACAACAGCAAUGACCAACCCAUUUGCCAUUGUGGGGUAUUCUACUAGUCGGUGAAUCUAGACCUAGACUAGUCAAAAACUCAAAGCCACAUAGGCUAGGCCCUGGCCUAACGUUACACAGUCUAUUACAUGUGGGACAACGUAUACCGGGUAGAUAUAAGGCCAAGCCAAGGGCAAGGCUAAACGUCUUAAGUUUACCUGCAAGACACUGAAACUUCAAGUUGUGUUGCUGCUACGCCAGCAGUUCCUGGUUGAAAAAAAGCUUCGGUGCCUGUCAUCAUGGAUAGCAUGAUUGUAGAUAAAAGUUAUUGAAAGUGGAAAAAUCUACAUGAGUCAAUAAUAAUAGCUUACUCGACGAAUUAACGUAUUUAGUAUUAACUUAGCUGGCUGGCCAAGUAGGUCGACGGGUAUGGCGCGGUGUAAUAUGCGGCUAGCGCUAUC
Lytechinus pictus (painted urchin) is the source of this 15625-nucleotide long non-coding RNA. RefSeq lists it as uncharacterized. The record is from RefSeq and is a predicted model, not a curated record. The transcript has 4 exons. Lineage: Eukaryota; Metazoa; Echinodermata; Echinoidea; Temnopleuroida; Toxopneustidae.